UUCCUUUCAAUCUUUGAGUCAAUCAGGGA
RNAcentral lists this non-coding RNA (29 nucleotides) under Mus musculus (house mouse). Lineage: Eukaryota; Metazoa; Chordata; Mammalia; Rodentia; Muridae. The record is from RNAcentral.